AUAGACUGUGAGUUGCGAACGGGUGAGUAACGCGUAGGUAACCUGCCUAUUAGAGGGGGAUAACUAUUGGAAACGAUAGCUAAUACCGCAUAACAGUAUGUAACACAUGUUAGAUGCUUGAAAGAUGCAAUUGCAUCGCUAGUAGAUGGACCUGCGUUGUAUUAGCUAGUAGGUAGGGUAAUGGCCUACCUAGGCGACGAUACAUAGCCGACCUGAGAGGGUGAUCGGCCACACUGGGACUGAGACACGGCCCAGACUCCUACGGGAGGCAGCAGUAGGGAAUCUUCGGCAAUGGGGGGAACCCUGACCGAGCAACGCCGCGUGAGUGAAGAAGGUUUUCGGAUCGUAAAGCUCUGUUGUUAAGGAAGAACGAGUGUGAGAAUGGAAAGUUCAUACUGUGACGGUACUUAACCAGAAAGGGACGGCUAACUACGUGCCAGCAGCCGCGGUAAUACGUAGGUCCCGAGCGUUGUCCGGAUUUAUUGGGCGUAAAGCGAGCGCAGGCGGUUAGAAAAGUCUGAAGUGAAAGGCAGUGGCUCAACCAUUGUAGGCUUUGGAAACUGUUUAACUUGAGUGCAGAAGGGGAGAGUGGAAUUCCAUGUGUAGCGGUGAAAUGCGUAGAUAUAUGGAGGAACAC
This 637-nucleotide ribosomal RNA is filed under the name uncultured Bacilli bacterium. RNAcentral's name for it is "bacterial SSU rRNA". It matches the Rfam family "Bacterial small subunit ribosomal RNA", at positions 84 to 709 of the family's 1533-position model. The record is from RNAcentral. Lineage: Bacteria; Bacillati; Bacillota; Bacilli.